GGUUGUGGCUCAGUGGUAGAGCGCUUGCCUAGCAUGUGUGAGGCACUGGGUUUGAUUCUCAGAACCA
RNAcentral lists this transfer RNA (67 nucleotides) under Marmota monax (woodchuck). RNAcentral describes it as "tRNA.Ala". Lineage: Eukaryota; Metazoa; Chordata; Mammalia; Rodentia; Sciuridae. The record is from RNAcentral.